ACCCGAAACCCGGUGAUCUAGCCAUGGCCAGGUUGAAGGUUGAGUAACAUCAACUGGAGGACCGAACCGACUAACUUUGAAAAGUUAGCGGAUGACUUGUGGCUGGGGGUGAAAGGCCAAUCAAACCGGGAGAUAGCUGGUUCUCCUCGAAAGCUAUUUAGGUAGCGCCUCGGACGAACACCAUUGGGGGUAGAGCACUGUUUCGGCUAGGGGGUCAUCCCGACUUACCAACCCAUUGCAAACUCCGAAUACCGAUGAGUGCGAGCUUGGGAGACAGACGUCGGGUGCUAACGUCCGGCGUCAAGAGGGAAACAACCCAGACCGCCAGCUAAGGUCCCAAAGAUUGGCUAAGUGGAAAACGAAGUGGGAAGGCACAGACAGCCAGGAGGUUGGCUUAGAAGCAGCCACCCUUUAAAGA
RNAcentral lists this ribosomal RNA (418 nucleotides) under Oxyrrhis marina. Its description in RNAcentral is "partial Bacterial large subunit ribosomal RNA". It matches the Rfam family "Bacterial large subunit ribosomal RNA", at positions 713 to 1129 of the family's 2925-position model. The record is from RNAcentral. Lineage: Eukaryota; Dinophyceae; Oxyrrhinales; Oxyrrhinaceae.